AUGAAUCCCCAUGGAUUUCCAAGUCGUAUGACAAUAGGCAAAAUGCUUGAACUUGUUGGGGGGAAGGCUGGUGUGUCGUGUGGUCGAUUUCAUUAUGGCAGUGCAUUUGGUGAACCAAGUGGUAAUGCUGAUAAAGUUGAAGACAUGAGCUAUAUUCUUGUCAAGCACGGCUUCAACUAUCUUGGAAAAGAUUUAUUGUACUCAGGCAUUUUAGGCCAUCCUCUUGAGACAUAUAUCUUCAUGGGGCCAAUCUACUACCAGAAGCUGAAGCACAUGGUUCUUGAUAAGAUGCAUGCUCGGGCUAGUGGACCACGAGUUACGAUGACCAGGCAGCCUACUGAAGGGCGAAGCCACAAUGGAGGCCUGCGUGUGGGUGAGAUGGAGCGUGAUUGCUUAAUUGCGCAUGGUGCCAGCAUGCUAAUAUUUGAGCGUCUCCUACUAUGCAGUGAUCCAUAUAAAGUGCAGGUUUGCGGAACAUGCGGUUUGUUAGGCUACUACAACCAUAAACUCAAGACAUCCUUCUGUUCAUUCUGCAAAAAUGGGGAAAAUAUGGCCCAAGUGACGAUGCCAUAUGCCUGCAAGCUUUUGUUUCAGGAACUGCAAUCGAUGAACGUUGUACCACGCCUGAAAUUAACCAAAGAAUGA
This 645-nucleotide ribosomal RNA is filed under the name Triticum aestivum (bread wheat). RNAcentral's name for it is "partial small subunit ribosomal RNA". Lineage: Eukaryota; Viridiplantae; Streptophyta; Magnoliopsida; Poales; Poaceae. The record is from RNAcentral.